GUCGGAGUCAAAGAGAACACCUAGGCAGCGAGCCUGCGAGGUAGAGGUGAUGGUGGCGCCGUUGACUUGGAGGGAGACAGACACGGGAGUCGCAACACUUGAGGGAGGAAAGACCAGAAGUUCUGUUUUGGACAGGUUAAGUUUAAGGAAGUGAGCAGCCAUCCAGUUGGAAAUUGCAGAGAGGCAGUCAGAAACACGAGUCAAGGUGGGCGGAGAGAGAUCAGGAGAGGACAGGUAGAUUUGUGUGUCAUCUGCAUAUAAAUGAUAAUGGAAUCCA
Pelobates cultripes (western spadefoot toad) is the source of this 277-nucleotide non-coding RNA. The record is from the annotation of a GenBank genome assembly. NCBI's taxonomy places the organism in Eukaryota, Metazoa, Chordata, Amphibia, Anura, Pelobatidae.